This 516-nucleotide long non-coding RNA is filed under the name Phoenix dactylifera (date palm). Its description in RNAcentral is "long non-coding RNA (PDAC_LNC022745)". Lineage: Eukaryota; Viridiplantae; Streptophyta; Magnoliopsida; Arecales; Arecaceae. The record is from RNAcentral.
CACAUUGGGAAAUCAUAUGCUAUACCAUAUCUAGAAGGGCAAAAAAUUAAUAAAUAUCUAUAUGAGAUGGAAAUACCAUUAUAACAAUACUGCAUAAUAAAAGGAAAAAAAUAGACUACUACUAUAUGUGUGUGGACAUAUGUAAGUUCUAAUAUUAAACAUAAACUCGAGUGUCCGUGAGGCAUUAUCUCAUAUGAUUGUCUCCACACUCCUAACAGCACUCCCAUCUCAAAUUAACAUAACCCCACUUAGUACAUUUGUUACUUUUCGGAAAAGGUACAAGAGAGGUGAACCUAUAAAAGUUGAGGGAAUAUGUAUCGAACUAAAAUAGUAAACUAGGAUUGGAGGAUGAUCGUUAUCCGCAGAACCUCGCACAUGCAUAGCAUGUGCCAAACUCUAAUGCAUGGAAAUAUGUUCUAACAGCCUCAUUUCCCCAUUCUUGCUGCCAUGCUGGCUUCUCUACCUUCUCCACCCCUAUCUUCCUAUUUCUAAUUUUAAUGGUCUAUUGCCAAUUUU